This 64-nucleotide transfer RNA is filed under the name Isometopus sp. Its description in RNAcentral is "tRNA-Asp". Lineage: Eukaryota; Metazoa; Arthropoda; Insecta; Hemiptera; Miridae. The record is from RNAcentral.
GAAAAGUUAGUUUAAUAAAAACAACAAUUUGUCAAAUUGUAAAUAUUGUGUAAAAUACUUUUUU